Long non-coding RNA from Lates calcarifer (barramundi perch), 208 nucleotides. RefSeq lists it as uncharacterized. The transcript has 3 exons. NCBI's taxonomy places the organism in Eukaryota, Metazoa, Chordata, Actinopteri, Centropomidae. The record is from RefSeq and is a predicted model, not a curated record.
GGAACCUAAGAGCUCUUCAUUCCCUGUGUCACUGGUCGUUGGGCUGGUUUGUGGAAUCACACUUAUUAUUCUCCUGCUCCUGUUGUAUCACUACAGACAGGAUUUGUGCUGUAUCAGGCUGAUUCAGUCAAAGAGGAGCAGUCGGAGCUCCACUGCUAAUCACAGAGUCAACCAGAAUGAAACUCUACGUAAUCAGUACUCUUGUGUC